UAGCUCUUUCUUGAUUCUGUGGGUGGUGGUGCAUGGCCGUUCUUAGUUGGUGGAGUGAUUUGUCUGCUUAAUUGCGAUAACGAACGAGACCUUAACCUGCUAAAUAGCCCGUUCUGCUUCGGCAGUACGCUGGCUUCUUAGAGGGACUAUCGGCUCAAGCCGAUGGAAGUUUGAGGCAAUAACAGGUCUGUGAUGCCCUUAGAUGUCCUGGGCCGCACGCGCGUUACACUGACAAAGCCAGCGAGUAUUUCCUUAGCCGGAAGGCUUGGGUAAUCUUGUUAAACUUUGUCGUGCUGGGGAUAGAGCAUUGCAAUUAUUGCUCUUGAACGAGGAAUCCCUAGUAAGCGCAAGUCAUCAG
RNAcentral lists this ribosomal RNA (358 nucleotides) under uncultured Microascales. RNAcentral describes it as "SSU rRNA". It matches the Rfam family "Eukaryotic small subunit ribosomal RNA", at positions 1252 to 1634 of the family's 1831-position model. The record is from RNAcentral. Lineage: Eukaryota; Fungi; Ascomycota; Sordariomycetes; Microascales.